UCUGUUCUAUACACUAUACCAACUGGUGGAUAACUUGGUUCCAAACACUGAUGAAGGACGUAGCAAGUUGCGAUAAGUCCUGGCGAGGCACAAGCGGCCAUUGAACUAGGAAUUUCCGAAUGCGACAUCGUGUUAUUUUCGAAUAACAUUCCGAAAGGAAGAAUAACCCACUGAAUUGAAGCAUCUUAGUAAGUGGAGGAAAAGAAAGCAAAUGCGAUUGGGUAAGUAAAGGCGAUCGAAAACCCAACAGGGCAAAUCGAAUCCUCUCCGAAAGGAAGAGGAGAUGUGAUGUCUGGGUACAACUUCGUUAGUUUAUUAGAAAUCUGCUGGAACGCAGUACCGUAGAGGGUGAUAGUCCCGUAUAAGAAAACUAAAAAGUUGAUUCCAGUCAAAGAGUACCAUUCCUUGGAUAUGGAGUGGGAAUAUGGGAGGCAUCAACUCCUAACCCUAAAUAUGUUUGGAGUCCGAUAGUGAAUAAGUAAGGUGACUGAACGUUGAAAAGUAUUUCUAACCGAAGGUUAAAAGAUCUUGAAACCAGUUGGAACUAGUCUUUCAUGGCAUGAAAGGUGUCUUCUCGAAGGAAAACCUCGUGAGGGGUGUGUACGAGAGAAGACUUACAGUGUCAUGAUUUCCGUUUCGAAAUUAGUUUAAGUGUUGACAACCCAAUUUCUUAGUUUUCACACUGAUAGUGAAAAUGAAUUUAGUAAUUUUAUAAUUUUAAUAAAUUGAUUGGAUUUAAACAUCCAAUGAAGGUUAAGAAGUUGGCAACAUUUUUCUAACGAGAUACACGGGGCAGGGAGUUUAUUUCUGUGGCAAGGGUAACCUGUUAAGCGGGGUACCCUAAGCGAAAGCGACAAGCGCGUAGCUUCGGCAUGGCGCGUCCUCUGAAAGGGGGAGUAGUCACAGGGAUAGUACCAGAAAGGAGGUGAUCUAUACCUGGAUAGGAUGAAGCGUGGCGAAAGCCGCGUGGAGGUCCGCUAUCGUUGUUGCUUCUAAGCACUCGAGUGAUCUGGGCAUAGGGGUGAAAAGCCAAUCGAACCUCCUGAUAGCUGGUUCCUUCAGAAAUGUGUCUUAGCACAGCCUCAUCUGAGAUAGUUGGCGGGGUAAAGCACUGAUUGGGAAAUUAAGGAAAGAAAUUUCCAGUUUCGCUGUCAAACUAAUAAUCUGUCAACAUCGUAGAAGAUGGGAGUGAGAGUACCGGGGUAAGCUUGGUGCUCAAAAGGGGAACAACCCAGAGUAAGGUUAAGGUCCCAAAUUCUCAAUUAAGUCAAGAAAGUGGUAGUAAUCCAAAAACAGGCGGGCGGUAGGCUUAGAAGCAGCCAUCCGAUAAUCAACGCGUAACAGCGGACCGUUCGAGGAUUAUUGCGCUGAAGAUGGACGGGUGUAAAUUGAGAACCGAUACCUUACAAAUAGAAAUAUAUUAGGUAUGAAGGUGUUCUGCAUGGGCAGAAGUAUCUACGUAAGUAGAUAUGGACCGUGCAGAAAUAAGAAUCCUGCUGGUAGUAACAGCAAAGUCAGGUUAGAACCCUGACCGCCUGAAAGGCAAGGUUUUCUCGGCAAUGACUAUCAGCCGAGAGUUAGUUGAUCCUAACCCAACCCUUAACUGAAGUUGGGGAAAGGGAAACCGGUUAAUAUUCCGGUACCACAGACAUACGUGUGGCAACACAAGUCCUAUUACAGACACUUUAGAGAUAGCUUAACGUAAGCUAAGCAUUGAAAUCCAGGGAGUUCUGUCAAAGAGAGAACUGGACGAAGGUGUGAAUGGUUUUCCUGUAUAGGAGAAUUUAAGCAAUUCCUAGAGUCCGUGAAAAUGUAAUGGAAAGGAUUGUCUGUGAUCAUACUCAGAACCGACACAGGUGACCCUUGCUGAAAAGGCAAUGGCGUGUCAGGUAAUGCCACUUUAGGGAAUUCGGCAAUAUUGGCCCUGUAUCUUAGGUAUAAGGGGUGUCUAUGUAGAAGUACAUAGAUCGCAGUAACCAGAGGAAAGCGACUGUUUAACAAAAACGUAGCUGGCUGCUAAUGAGAAAUCAUUUGUAUAGCCAGUGAGGCCUGCUCAGUGCGAGUGUGUUAAAACUGGUUUCAACCGGUCCAAGCCCUCGUAAACAGCGGCGGUAACUCUGACCGUCUUAAGGUAGCGUAAUCCCUUGUCGUUUAAUUGACGACCCGCAUGAAUGGCUUAACGACUUUCCUGCUGUCCCAAGGUGGUGCCUGGCGAACCUGCUAUUGUGGUGCAUAGGCCACAGACCCUCAGAGGGAAUUGGAAUAAGUAUUAGAUAUUCAAUUUCAGCUUUCUUAUUCUCUUUUUUUAACGAGUUAAGAAAAGUAGAUAAGGAAGCUUCCCUAAAUUAGACCAUGAAAAGUAAAACUUUUUAUCAAAUAGCUUUUAGUCAAUAUGACAAGAAAAUAAAUGUUAAAAUACCAAAACUGAAUAAUAAACUUCUUGCAUAUGAAAUAGGAGUUCAUUUGGGAGAUGGAUCAAUGCAAAUAGUUCCUAAGAAAACACACUCAGUUAGAUACUGGGGAGAUUCAAAUGAGGAUUGGUUAUUUGUAUCAGAAGUACUUCCAAAAAUUAUUAAAGAACUCUAUAAUAAAAAUGUUAUUGCAAGAAAGUGCAAUGAUUCGAACAAGUGUGUUCUUUCAGUUUGUUCAAAAGCGAUUGCAACAUUUAAGAGAGAUAUAAUUGGUUUACCAGCUGGAAAUAAGAAACAAAUUAAAGGUUUACCAAAAUUUGUAAAAAAGAAUAGAAACCUCCUAAUAAAUUGUUUAAGAGGUAUUGGAGAUACUGAUUUUGGUUUAUACUUUCAUAGAGAUGGAACUCCUGGAUUAGCUUGUAUAAUGAGUAAUAAAGAUUUAAUUGAAGAUAUUGGUCAAGAAAUUAGAAAUUUAGGGAUUGACGCGAAAAUUAAAUUUGAUAUAAUAAGAAUGCGAAAAGGUAAACAAAAUAUUGAACAUCAUGUUAAAAUAUAUUGUAAGAAAAAUCUUGAAAAAUGGAUGAAAAUUAUAAGUUUUGAGAAUCCUAAACAUUUAACAAAAUAUUUGUGCUGGAAACAUCUUAAUUUUUCUAAAAACAGAACAACUGUUAAACAAAGAACAAUUAUGCUUGAAGAAGCUGGUAUUUUUCCAACCUCAUAGAGAAGACCCCGUGGAGCUCUGCGGCAGCCUGUCGUUGUUAUACGGUAAUGGUUGCAUAGCGUAAGUAGGAGCUGCUACGCUAACAGUUCCGGCUGUUAGAUAGGCAACAAUGUAACACUACUCUUCCAUGACUGCAUAACUAACCUCGACUCGGGGGACACCGAUUGGUGGGCCGCUCGGCUGGGGCGGUACGCCCAUGACAGGAUAUCAUGGGUGCUCAAAGUUGAUCUCAGUCCGGUCAGAAAUCGGACGUAGAGUGCAAGCGCAAAAGAUCGAUUGACUGGAUUUUUAAAAGUAUGGAAUCCAGAUGCGAAAGCAUGAGCUAGCGAAACGCCGAGCUGUUCUUGAUGGAUAUCGGUGACUUCAGAAAAGCUACCCCGGGGAUAAUGGAGUCGUGGCGGGCGAGAGUUCCUAAUUGAGCCUUAAGUUGGCAAAACGAGAGGUGCAAUGAGCAAAUCGACAUAUAAUUCGGGUUUUUUAAUUCCUACUAAAGCUGGUAAUGAUCGUAAUCAUGUCGAUUAAGAGAAUCAGUUUUGUUUAGAUGUAGCUAUUGUUAAUAGUUGCAUAUAAUAAAUGUAGGUAUACCUAUUUUAUACGAGAUCCCGCGCAUUGCUUCUCCGCUGUCGGCUUCCCCCCUCCUGGCUGCGCAGCAGCAGCCAAGGGUACAGGUGUUCACUGGUUAAAGGGGGACAUUAGCUGGGUUCAGUACGUCGUGAUUCAGACGUGAAGGGUUUUCAUAGUUUUCCGUAUCUCAGAUGAUCUAUGGAGAAAUAGCUAUGGCUAUCAAUGAUAAUAGAUUACCAGGUACGGUACAUUUUGGUAAUGAUUGGACCGCCCCAAUGCGAUUCCUGAAACUUAUUUAGUUUCGCGAGCGGAGUAGCUUAUGAACCAACCUCUAAAAGUAUUCGUUGCAAUGACUAGACCUCAGACUGUCUAAACGAGCAACAAUGAAAACUUCCCUUUACACUGGACGACAUAGACAGUACGGUUUAUAUCUUCUGAGGGUGUCCAGUUACCUGACCCGAAGAAUGUGCAAGUACGAAAGGAACGCCCAUUCGUGGCCUCUGGUCUACCAGUUAUCUUUUGGUAAUGCUGGUCAGCUACGCCAUGAUCUUUAAGAGCUGAAGGCAUCUAAGCUCGAAAUGACUGGGGAAAAUAGGUAAAUAGCGCUUGUAAAAGACAAGUUUGAUAGAACAGGGGUGUAAGUACCAAGCUUCGGCGAGGUAUUCAGCUCACUGUUACUAAAGCUUUUGUUUUGAACAGA
Molecule: ribosomal RNA, 4396 nt
Filed under: Nanobdellota archaeon
Lineage: Archaea; Nanobdellati; Nanobdellota
Description: 23S ribosomal RNA
Rfam family: Archaeal large subunit ribosomal RNA
Source: RNAcentral